This 466-nucleotide ribosomal RNA is filed under the name uncultured bacterium. RNAcentral's name for it is "partial 16S ribosomal RNA". It matches the Rfam family "Bacterial small subunit ribosomal RNA", at positions 28 to 507 of the family's 1533-position model. The record is from RNAcentral.
GAUGAACGCUGGCGGCGUGCUUAACACAUGCAAGUCGAACGAUGAAGCCCAGCUUGCUGGGUGGAUUAGUGGCGAACGGGUGAGUAACACGUGAGUAACCUGCCCUUAACUCUGGGAUAAGCCUGGGAAACUGGGUCUAAUACCGGAUAGGAGCGUCCACCGCAUGGUGGGUGUUGGAAAGAUUUAUCGGUUUUGGAUGGACUCGCGGCCUAUCAGCUUGUUGGUGAGGUAAUGACUCACCAAGGCGACGACGGGUAGCCGGCCUGAGAGGGUGACCGGCCACACUGGGACUGAGACACGGCCCAGACUCCUACGGGAGGCAGCAGUGGGGAAUAUUGCACAAUGGGCGCAAGCCUGAUGCAGCGACGCCGCGUGAGGGAUGACGGCCUUCGGGUUGUAAACCUCUUUCAGUAGGGAAGAAGCGAAAGUGACGGUACCUGCAGAAGAAGCACCGGCUAACUACGUG